CAAUCGAGGAAUUAUAGUCUCUAAAUUAUUAAGAUCUGAUUUUUUUUAAAAAGUGUUAUAAUAUCUAGCUGUGAUGCAGUAAAACUAUAUUUAUGUCCAAUGGUUCCGGGCCCAGUGGGUCCGGCCCUGCCCUUGGUAGAGACCAGGAUCAGUACAAAAUUGUUUCUCAAUAUCCUGGUUACUACCAGGGUUCAAGAUUACCAGGUGUAUCAGACCUCUCCGGGUACCCGGGGAGUAUACCAGGGUUCCGCCCUGGACCUAGAACCUCCGCCAAAUUUCCGCCAGCUUUAUACAGAAAUCCGAAUGCACCGGAUUGGCAGACAACUAAAUGCAAGGUGACCGAGCGGGGUAAACAUCUACUAGAAACCGGUUUAUGGUCGGACUGUGAGUUUAUCGUAGGACUACCUCCUAAUUUCAAGAUAUUCCAUGUGCACAAGAUGUUCCUGGCCAUGUCCUCCCCUGUGUUUGAAGCAAUGUUCUACGGAGGUUUGGCGGAGACUAAACGAGAGAUUAAAAUCUCUGAUGUUCAACCUGAUGCUUUCUCUUGUAUGCUCGAGUAUAUAUAUACUGAUGAAGUAAACCUUGCCAGUUUUGAGCUUGUUUGUGAUAUCUGCUAUGCUGCUAAGAAGUAUAUGCUCCCUGAGCUUGUUGAAGAAUGUACUAAAUUUCUCUGGAGAGAUCUCUACCCUAGGAAUGCCUGCCGUAUUUAUGAAUUUGCCAAACUUUUUGAAGAGCCCAUCCUAUUAGAGAAAAGUUUACAGAUUAUAACAAAUCAAACUAUUGAGAUAAUAAAUGAACCCUCCUGGGAGGAUGUAGAACAAUCAACUUUACAGAUUUUUCUGUCCCGAGAUACUUUAUCUGCCCCUGAAGUUUUACUAUUUGAUGCUAUAGAUAGAUGGUCAACUAAAGAGUGUGAAAGACGAGGUGUAGAAGUCUCACCGGAGAAGAAAAGAUUCGUUCUGGGAGAAGCACUGUUUCUAAUUAGGUACCUGACACUAACUGCUGCUGAGUUUGCUGCCGGUCCAGCAAGAUCUGGACUUCUUACACAACAGGAAAGUUUUGCUAUUCUAAUGAAUAUUUCUUGUCCUGGUUCCUGGGAUUUACCUAAACAUAUGAACUCAAUAACAGAGGUAAGGAAGGGUCCAAGUGUACAAGCAGCCUCUGAUCUAGAUCUAGGAACUAAACUCUGGUGUAAACGAGCAAUGAUGCAGGAGCCUCAUUGCUUGAACACUUCUAUACUGGAUUGUAGUGUCACCUUCACAGUGGAUAGAGAUGUUUGGAUCCAUGGAAUAGAAGUACCAAGUCAGGUGACUGAUAUACCUGAAGGAGUACCCCUGGAAGGAGUAGAACUCCUACAAGGGGAAGGAUAUAAUGAACUACUAUACUCCCAUCUACUAGAUGGGGAGGGAACUCGACUCACAUACACACACUUCACUGCUAAGGUGAAUUGGAACUCUAUGAUUGAGAUCUGCUUUAAUAGAUCUGUAAAGAUACAAGCCAACAGGGUUUACAGGAUAGGCAUGGUGCUUAAUAAGGUUGGUUGGUAUCCUAUGGGUGUUUGUACCCGACGCGUAAACUGUGAUGGUAGUUUCUUCACCUUCUGUGUCGGUCAACCCAAUGACACGCAACGGGAUGGCCUUAUUAGGUCGAUAAUAUUCUCAAGAUAGCAUAUAAGUGAAAUCUAUGGUCUGGAGCAGAGAUAGAGACUAUUCUGAAUUAUCUUCAGUUGUCAGAAUUUAACACUUCAAGCUAGAAAACGAGAUUUCUUCCACAUCAUCGAACAGAUUAUGGUUUAAAAGGUUCCGCUGUGGAUCUGAAAUGCUUCUUAUGAAAUGAAGGGUAA
Molecule: unclassified non-coding RNA, 1843 nt
Filed under: Eurytemora carolleeae
Lineage: Eukaryota; Metazoa; Arthropoda; Copepoda; Calanoida; Temoridae
Description: bTB/POZ domain-containing protein 6
Source: RNAcentral